RNAcentral lists this ribosomal RNA (792 nucleotides) under uncultured Prevotella sp. RNAcentral describes it as "bacterial SSU rRNA". It matches the Rfam family "Bacterial small subunit ribosomal RNA", at positions 65 to 854 of the family's 1533-position model. The record is from RNAcentral. Lineage: Bacteria; Pseudomonadati; Bacteroidota; Bacteroidia; Bacteroidales; Prevotellaceae.
AACGGCAUUUGGUGCUUGCACCGAAUGGACGUCGACCGGCGCACGGGUGAGUAACGCGUAUCCAACCUUCCCGUUACUGCGGGAUAACCUGCCGAAAGGCAGACUAAUACCGCAUGUUCUUCGAUGACGGCAUCAGAUUCGAAGCAAAGAUCCGUCGGUAACGGAGGGGGAUGCGUCUGAUUAGCUAGUUGGCGGGGCGACGGCCCACCAAGGCGACGAUCAGUAGGGGUUCUGAGAGGAAGGUCCCCCACAUUGGAACUGAGACACGGUCCAAACUCCUACGGGAGGCAGCAGUGAGGAAUAUUGGUCAAUGGGCGGAAGCCUGAACCAGCCAAGUAGCGUGCAGGAUGACGGCCCUACGGGUUGUAAACUGCUUUUAUGCGGGGAUAAAGUGAGGGACGCGUCCCUUUUUGCAGGUACCGCAUGAAUAAGGACCGGCUAAUUCCGUGCCAGCAGCCGCGGUAAUACGGAGGGUCCGGGCGUUAUCCGGAUUUAUUGGGUUUAAAGGGAGCGUAGGCCGGGGAUUAAGUGUGUUGUGAAAUGUAGGCGCCCAACGUCUGACUUGCAGCGCAUACUGGUUCCCUUGAGUACGCGCAACGCCGGCGGAAUUCGUCGUGUAGCGGUGAAAUGCUUAGAUAUGACGAAGAACCCCGAUUGCGAAGGCAGCCGGCGGGAGCGCAACUGACGCUGAAGCUCGAAGGUGCGGGUAUCGAACAGGAUUAGAUACCCUGGUAGUCCGCACGGUAAACAAUGGAUGCCCGCUGUCGGCGCCUUGCGCCGGCGGCCAAGCGA